UACGGAGGGGGCAAGCGUUAUUCGGAAUUAUUGGGCGUAAAGGGCGCGUAGGCGGCUAGAUGUGUCAAAGGUGAAAUCCCUCGGCUCAACUGAGGAACUGCCUUUGAAACUGUCUGGCUUGAGGCCGGGAGAGGGUAGCGGAAUUCCCAGUGUAGCGGCGAAAUGCGUAGAUAUUGGGAGGAACACCAGUGGCGAAGGCGGCUACCUGGACCGGUUCUGACGCUGAGGCGCGAAAGCGUGGGUAGCAAACAGG
RNAcentral lists this ribosomal RNA (253 nucleotides) under uncultured bacterium. RNAcentral's name for it is "partial 16S ribosomal RNA". It matches the Rfam family "Bacterial small subunit ribosomal RNA", at positions 524 to 776 of the family's 1533-position model. The record is from RNAcentral.